GGGGCUGAUUCUGGAUUCGACGGGAUUUGCGAAACCCAAGGUGCAUGCCGAGGGGCGGUUGGCCUCGUAAAAAGCCGCAAAAAAAUAGUCGCAAACGACGAAACCUACGCUUUAGCAGCUUAAUAACCUGCUUAGAGCCCUCUCUCCCUAGCCUCCGCUCUUAGGACGGGGAUCAAGAGAGGUCAAACCCAAAAGAGAUCGCGUGGAUGCCUUGCCUGGGGUUGAAGCGUUAAAACGAAUCAGGCUAGUCUGGUAGUGGCGUGUCCGUCCGCAGGUGCCAGGCGAAUGUAAAGACAGACUAAGCAUGUAGUACCGAGGAUGUAGGAAUUUCGGACGCGGGUUCAACUCCCGCCAGCUCCACCA
Molecule: transfer-messenger RNA, 363 nt
Filed under: Enterobacteriaceae (enterobacteria)
Lineage: Bacteria; Pseudomonadati; Pseudomonadota; Gammaproteobacteria; Enterobacterales
Also listed under: 89 other names
Description: Salmonella diarizonae Standard tmRNA
Rfam family: transfer-messenger RNA
About the family: Bacterial tmRNA, also known as 10Sa RNA or SsrA, is named for its dual tRNA and mRNA-like properties. Its role is to liberate the mRNA from a stalled ribosome. To accomplish this part of the tmRNA is used as a reading frame that ends in a translation stop signal.
Source: RNAcentral